This 101-nucleotide small nuclear RNA is filed under the name Dasypus novemcinctus (nine-banded armadillo). The record is from RNAcentral. Lineage: Eukaryota; Metazoa; Chordata; Mammalia; Cingulata; Dasypodidae.
GCUUCGGCAGAACAUAUACUAAAAUUGAAACAAUACAGAGAAGAUUAGCAUGGCCCUUGUGCAAGGAUGACACAAAAACACAAAAAUCCUGGUUAUUUCAU